UAACACAUGCAAGUCGAGCGGUAGAGAGAAGCUUGCUUCUCUUGAGAGCGGCGGACGGGUGAGUAAUGCCUAGGAAUCUGCCUGGUAGUGGGGGAUAACGUUCGGAAACGGACGCUAAUACCGCAUACGUCCUACGGGAGAAAGCAGGGGACCUUCGGGCCUUGCGCUAUCAGACGAGCCUAGGUCGGAUUAGCUAGUUGGUGAGGUAAUGGCUCACCAAGGCGACGAUCCGUAACUGGUCUGAGAGGAUGAUCAGUCACACUGGAACUGAGACACGGUCCAGACUCCUACGGGAGGCAGCAGUGGGGAAUAUUGGACAAUGGGCGAAAGCCUGAUCCAGCCAUGCCGCGUGUGUGAAGAAGGUCUUCGGAUUGUAAAGCACUUUAAGUUGGGAGGAGGGGCAGUAAAUUAAUACUUUGCUGUUUUGACGUUACCGACAGAAUAAGCACCGGCUAACUCUGUGCCAGCAGCCGCGGUAAUACAGAGGGUGCAAGCGUUAAUCGGAAUUACUGGGCGUAAAGCGCGCGUAGGUGGUUUGUUAAGUUGGAUGUGAAAUCCCCGGGCUCAACCUGGGAACUGCAUUCAAAACUGACUGACUAGAGUAUGGUAGAGGGUGGUGGAAUUUCCUGUGUAGCGGUGAAAUGCGUAGAUAUAGGAAGGAACACCAGUGGCGAANGCGACCACCUGGACUAAUACUGACACUGAGGUGCGAAAGCGUGGGGAGCAAACAGGAUUAGAUACCCCUGGUAGUCCACGCCGUAAACGAUGUCAACUAGCCGUUGGAAGCCUUGAGCUUUUANUGGCGCAGCUAACGCAUUAAGUUGACCGCCUGGGGAGUACGGCCGCAAGGUUAAAACUCA
Molecule: ribosomal RNA, 860 nt
Filed under: uncultured bacterium
Lineage: Bacteria
Description: bacterial SSU rRNA
Rfam family: Bacterial small subunit ribosomal RNA
Source: RNAcentral